UUUAGUGGAAAUUCCAACUGCCCUCCACUCUGCCUUUAGCAUCUCGUCCCAAGGGCAUCAGUACAGACGAGCAUCCCUGUUAGUUAUUCCCCAGGGUCGCUACAAGGUGGCGUGACUGCCGGUCCCUCUGCUGUGCUGAGCAGGCCAGCACAGAAACACUGAACAAGCCAUGAGCCUGAAAAGUGAUGGAGAUUGGAGUUAAGAAGAGACACGUCCCCUUCACAUGGUCCCUGAGCUGACAUGGACCAGGGAUCCAGAACUAGACAUGCCCUUCCUGCCUGUUGGGACGGGCACCCCAGUCCUCCUCAGAGGAACACACACACACACACACACACACACACACACACACACACUCGACCACCUGCAGUCAGUCCCCUGCUAGGAGGCCUUUCUCCUUUGACACCUGCCCUGGCCAAAGAGCACCCGGAACACAGUGGCAAGGGUUCAGGGCACUGCAGAGGCCCCCCUGGGAGGUGGAGGGGACAGUGGCCUGGGUGCCCUCCUGAUCCUCCACUCAGUGCUGAUCGAGGGCUUCCUGAGUGUCCUCACCCCUCCCAGUCACCCCCUGUGUGUUGAUGAACUCAUCACUGUGAGCCCUGAGAAGCAGAGGUGAUUGGUCCUCAGUCCUUGCCCUUAGGGUCCCAGACUAUAAGGAGAGAAGAAAGGGAAGCUUCACAGUAUGUGUAAGUGCUGCCCUCCAUCCCCCCGCCCCCAGGCCAGGAAACAACACAGGAGCACCGCAACAGGCCGCCAGUCUACUGCGGAGGUCCCAGGAGCCACGCCCCAGAAGUGAGGACCACUGCCGGGAUCGAGGAGUUUGUGGGUGACUGGGCCCUGGGGGGAUAAGGUCUCAUGGCUUGUUUCCAGGGUCUGUCUGCUCAAAGGGGAAUCCAUCUCACCCCUGGGGUCCCACUGUGGCCUUCGCAUGGCCAGCCCCAGGUGAUGGUUUUCAGACGACUGUGUCUUUAACUGGGUCCAGCACCAGGUCCAGGGAACCAUCAAAUUCCACAAAAACAAACCGCAAUCAGGGGCCAGAGGACAGCAGCCUGCACCCAUGCCCCCACAGGCCAGUACCCUCGGGUCUGAGCCAGAGGAGGCCAGGGCCUCGGCCUCCUGCAGCCACGCCUGCCUGUCACCAUGGCUGCAGGUGGGUCUCCAGCUCCUUAAUCAUGCCGGCAGAAACAAAUGUGUUGCUCUGAUCUGCAGACGGUUCCCACUUUACUGACGCACAGUGAGCAUGGAUUAGUCCCAUGAACUACAAAAGGGGCCUCUCCUCUCCUGGCAGGUGUUCAGCCUCUGACUGCAGUCAGGCUCACAGCGGGGUCCUCCGCCGCCGCCAGCACCGCGGAGCCAACAGGAGGGAUGCUGGAAUCCGUGGCGGACCCAGGAUGCUCCCAAAUACGGACCCCGCCCGCAGGUGCCUCUGAAACCAGAGCUCCUCUCCUCAACACCCCAACCAGAGGUAGCAGAGCUGGAGGGUUAGCGCUCCAAGGUACGCUGUAAGAAAAGCCAGGGGUGCAACAGCGUGGAUCCUCCAAGGCCAUUUAUAUAACCCAAGGGUGUGUGUGUGUGUGUGUGUGUGUCCAAACGGGGAGUACAGGAAGGCAGUCACUGACCCGUUGGUGUCUUGGGUGUUAUGAGUUGGUGUGGCCAGGGCGCAAUUUGCUCUGUGGUCCUGACUUUUGUGGUUGAAGACUUCUGGCCUGCAGAGACCCAAGUGGCUGACUGGGUCAGUCUGGGAGAAUCCCAUGGCUGCUCUAGCCUCUGACCAAAAGGAACAGGCACAUCUUAGAAACCAGCAGGACUAUCUGCCUCCGUGUAACUGUGAGAGACCUCUUCCUCCCUCACGACUCACGUGAUAGACAGCAGGAAGGAACCAGGAACAUGGUCCUGCUGCCAUUCCUCUUAGUGGUAGAUCAGGGAUGGACGGUGUAGAGAGCAGGCUGCACCUGCCCUGGGUGACUCCAUGGUGUGUAGGACAGCAGUCCUCAGGCUGUGCCUGCCCUGGGUGACUCCAUGGUGUGUAGAACAGCAGUCCUCAGGCUGUGCCUGCCCUGGUGACUCCAUGGUGUGCAGGACAGCAGUCCUCAGGCUGUGCCUGCCCUGGUGACUCCAUGGUGUGUAGAACAGCAGUCCUCAGGCUGUGCCUGCCCUGGCGACUCCAUGGUGUGUAGAACAGCAGUCCUCAGGCUGUGCCUGCCCUGGCGACUCCAUGGUGUGUAGAACAGCAGUCCUCAGGCUGUGCCUGCCCUGGUGACUCCAUGGUGUGUAGAACAGCAGUCCUCAGGCUGUGCCUGCCCUGACAGCAGUCCUCAGGCUGUGCCUGCCCUAGUGACUCCAUGGUGUGCAGGACAGCAGUCCUCAGGCUGUGCCUUCUGUGGUGACUCCAUGGUGUGUAGGACAGCAGUCCUCAGGCUGUGCCUGCCCUGGUGACUCCAUGGUGUGUAGAACAGCAGUCCUCAGGCUGCGCCUGCCCUGGUGACUCCAUGGUGUGCAGAACAGCAGUCCUCAGGCUGCACCUGCCCUGGUGACUCCAUGGUGUGUAGGACAGCAGUCCUCAGGCUGUGCCUGCCCUGGUGACUCCAUGGUGUGUAGAACAGCAGUCCUCAGGCUGUGCCUGCCCUAGUGACUCCAUGGUGUGUAGGACAGCAGUCCUCAGGCUGUGCCUGCCCUGGUGACUCCAUGGUGUGCAGGACAGCAGUCCUCAGGCUGUGCCUGCCCUGGUGACUCCAUGGUGUGUAGGACAGCAAUCCUCAGGCUGUGCCUGCCCUGGUGACUCCAUGGUGUGUAGAACAGAGUUUUCAGGCUACAGAUAUUAGUAAUUAUGUUUGAAAUAAAAAAAUCUGUGAUUGCCCAGCUUAUGCCUACCAGGUGAGGAGUGUUUGGUGAGCUGCAGCUGCUGAAAGUGGUGUACCUGAGAAGGGAUUGCUAUCCCGUGCCCUUCUGACAUUGUGGAGAGACACACAUGCUUGGCCCUUGCUAAUGGCACGGCUCAUUCAUGAAGGGUUUGGGGGACUUCUGCACAGAGAAGGAAGGGAGAAGGAGGCAGGAAUGGGGGUCAUGUCAGAAGGUAGGCGAGCAGCCAUGGGUCCCAGCAAGCCUCAGGCCAAGUCCACAGUCCUCCUGGGACCCCUCCCUGCCCACACUCCAGAAGAGGCUUCAAGACCCCACUCUUGUCAGCACACCUCCUGAGCCAGCUGGAGUGAGCACAGGGCCCAUGCCCAGGGCCGACUGCGUGUACUGCGUCUUCAGCGACUGCUAGUGCUUCUAGCUGCACACUUGCCAUCUGAUUAGAGGCAAAGUUGAUCUAUUUUAACUUCACACUCCAAGUUAUUCGUGGAGUUUAGUCACAGCCCUAUAUAAUAGAAAACCACCACUGCCUACAGUCAUUUGAAGCCACAAAAACCCUCUCUUUGCACUUUCUAUCUGCACUGUGGCCUGCAGGCUCCUGCAGCCGUGGUCUCCUGCCCUGCAGGUCCCUCUGGUCUGGGAGGCCUGGUGCACUGGCUGUCUGUGCCGUCCCUGGAUGCCAGCCCCCUCCUCCUGUGCCCACGGGACCAGCCCUGCACACCAGGCCCUCUCCCAAGAGCCCCACCGGCUCCUGAACCAAUAAAAGAUCACAUUUUAAUUGAAAGUCACUGUGGCGGCCGUAGGCAGAGGUCUGUUUGUCCUGCGCCUGUGCUGGGGGUUAGCUUCGGCUUGUAGAAGUGCCCACCUCAACUCAGCUGGAAACAGAGUCACACGUGCACACUGCCAAAUUUUCACUUAAACAUCGGUUUUUUAAAAACCAACACUUCACUUGGUUCAAACUGUAAACCAAAGGUCACACGUGUCCAGUCUCCCUCCCACACUGACCCCAGCCAACAAUCUCCUCUGAAGCCACACGGAUCUUUCCAGAGAUGCUUUGGCAUAUACAAUAAAUACAUCACAUAAAGGAGACCAAAAAAUUGCCUGCAGCUUCACACUUGGGAUAAGAGCCAUGUGGGUGUGGUGCGAUCAAGGUUCGGCCUUUCCCAGGAUUAACUGAGUUUUCCUCCCGGCCUCCUGAGCCUUGCUGGGCCGGGCCUGUGGUGCCCACCGUGCAGUAUGCCAAUCGUGAAAGAGAAAGGGUACUUCUGAGGUGGCUGGCGGGAGAGUGGCCUCCACCUGCCUCCCUGAAGGGGGUCCAGGGGUGUUUAUGGGUGGAGGCCCGAGGAAGGGGAACUGGAGGCCAUGAGGAAUGGUGACCAAACCACCAGCCACCAGGACACGGGGCACAGGUGUCACCUAUGCUCAACUAACCUUGGUGAUGUUUCGGGUCAACCGAAGCCAGGAACUAAGAGUGGAGACGUAGCUAAGGCUGAGAGCAGCGCUCACCGGGCUUUGCAGGCUGCGGAGCACGUGCCCUGUGGAGAGGCACCUCGCCAUGAACUCUCCUGUUUUCACGGAUCACUCUGGAGAGCUGAGUGGCAGGACGGACCCCGGCCCUCCUGGGCAGUGGCCUCCUGAGCACCAGCGUGCGGCCUGCUGUGCGCUGUGCCAUCGGGUCAGCGAGAGGCUCCCAGGGAGAACGUGGGGCCUUCCUGGGAACCACAUGCUUCCUUUCCCCUCCUGUCCUCCCCCAAACUUCCCAGUUCCAAAGCGUGACACUCCACACAACCCCCGCUUAGCCCAGAUGAGGAGAGCCACUCUGAACUCGCCCAGGAGAGCGCUACAGAGAAGCGCUCACCGCAGGCGCUCAGCCAAGAAAGGAUCGUGGACCACAGGACCAGACCCCUGUCGCCCAGCCUGCGGCACCCGUGGGACAGAGCCCUCAGCUGGGUCCACAGCAAGCGCAGUGAGCACUCAAAAGCCCAGGGAGCUCUGUGACCCAGGGAGGACCCAGGCCCCAGUCACCAAGGGACGGGGGCCCCCUUCCUGUGGACCUGGGAGCAGGAAUGUAGGGGUGCAGUUGACGGACCUCACAACCACGCGGCUUCAGAGGGAAUCCCACACAAUCAGAGCGCGAUGGAGAAGGGGGCAGCAAACACGGGCCUG
RNAcentral lists this long non-coding RNA (5016 nucleotides) under Marmota monax (woodchuck). The record is from RNAcentral. Lineage: Eukaryota; Metazoa; Chordata; Mammalia; Rodentia; Sciuridae.